Molecule: non-coding RNA, 19 nt
Filed under: Drosophila melanogaster (fruit fly)
Lineage: Eukaryota; Metazoa; Arthropoda; Insecta; Diptera; Drosophilidae
Source: RNAcentral
UUUUUAUGGCACUGCCGAC